UCCACCCGGCAUAUGACAGUAAGACCUUUGUAAAUGACAUUGCAAUUCUCAAAACGGAACAGCCAAUCCCUUUCGAUGUCAAGAACACUGUUUCGCCAAUCUGCCUUCCUGAAGACCCAAACAAUAAGUACGGCAACACUGAGGUCUCCGUCUGUGGAUGGGGACGAACGAUUGGAAGUGAUGGUAGCUCUAACUCACCUGUUCUUCUUCAUACUGUAAUGACAACAAUGACCAAUGUAAUGUGCAAUAAGAUGUUUUCUCCUACGUUUUUCAUUCCUGAUGAGAAAAUUUGUGCUCGUGCCUCUUGAAAAAGCCAAGGCUUGUCCUGUAGAGGAGACUCAGGAGGCCCACUAAUGUACCAGCAUGGAAGCCACAUGGAUCUGAUCGGAAUAGCUUCAUCGGGGCCAGAAGGAUGUUUAAGAGAAUUCCCAAAAUUGUUCACUCGAGUUACCAGUA
This is a long non-coding RNA of Macrobrachium nipponense, 456 nucleotides long. RefSeq lists it as uncharacterized. The record is from RefSeq and is a predicted model, not a curated record. Lineage: Eukaryota; Metazoa; Arthropoda; Malacostraca; Decapoda; Palaemonidae. The transcript has 3 exons.